AACGAACGCUGGCGGCAUGCCUAACACAUGCAAGUCGAACGAGACCUUCGGGUCUAGUGGCGCACGGGUGCGUAACGCGUGGGAAUCUGCCCUUUGCUUCGGAAUAACAGUUAGAAAUGACUGCUAAUACCGGAUGAUGUCUUCGGACCAAAGAUUUAUCGGCAAAGGAUGAGCCCGCGUAGGAUUAGGUAGUUGGUGGGGUAAAGCCUACCAAGCCGACGAUCCUUAGCUGGUCUGAGAGGAUGAUCAGCCACACUGGACUGAGACACGGCCCAGACUCCUACGGGAGGC
This 291-nucleotide ribosomal RNA is filed under the name uncultured bacterium. RNAcentral describes it as "partial 16S ribosomal RNA". It matches the Rfam family "Bacterial small subunit ribosomal RNA", at positions 29 to 349 of the family's 1533-position model. The record is from RNAcentral.